Molecule: ribosomal RNA, 491 nt
Filed under: uncultured bacterium
Lineage: Bacteria
Description: partial 16S ribosomal RNA
Rfam family: Bacterial small subunit ribosomal RNA
Source: RNAcentral
AGUGAACGCUGGCGGUAGGCCUAACACAUGCAAGUCGAACGGCAGCACAGUAAGAGCUUGCUCUUACGGGUGGCGAGUGGCGGACGGGUGAGGAAUACAUCGGAAUCUACUUUUUCGUGGGGGAUAACGUAGGGAAACUUACGCUAAUACCGCAUACGACCUACGGGUGAAAGCAGGGGAUCUUCGGACCUUGCGCGAUUGAAUGAGCCGAUGUCGGAUUAGCUAGUUGGCGGGGUAAAGGCCCACCAAGGCGACGAUCCGUAGCUGGUCUGAGAGGAUGAUCAGCCACACUGGAACGGAGACACGGUCCAGACUCCUACGGGAGGCAGCAGUGGGGAAUAUUGGACAAGGGGCGCAAGCCUGAUCCAGCCAUACCGCGUGGGUGAAGAAGGCCUUCGGGUUGUAAAGCCCUUUUGUUGGGAAAGAAAAGCAGCAGGUUAAUACCCCGCUGUUCUGACGGUACCCAAAGAAUAAGCACCGGCUAACUUCGU